CCUACCGGAGGUAGCAGUGGGGAAUUUUGGACAAUGGGGGCAACCCUAAGUCCGACCAUGCCGCGUGGGUGAAGAAGGCCUUCGGGUUGUUUUUUUUUUUUAUCAUGAUCCCCCCUUAUUUUUUUCCCCCUGAUUUGACGUACCUGAGAGUAGCACCGCUAUUUUUGUA
RNAcentral lists this ribosomal RNA (169 nucleotides) under uncultured Thiobacter sp. RNAcentral describes it as "partial 16S ribosomal RNA". It matches the Rfam family "Bacterial small subunit ribosomal RNA", at positions 338 to 507 of the family's 1533-position model. Lineage: Bacteria; Pseudomonadati; Pseudomonadota; Betaproteobacteria; Burkholderiales; Thiobacteraceae. The record is from RNAcentral.